GCAGCAAUGGCGCAUACCAUGACUCCCCUUUCAACAGCGCAAAACACAACCUCCAUUCUGAAGAUUGCUCCAAAAUCCCCAACUCUGAAGAACAGCAGCGACCUUUCUCUGGGAGCCAAAUGCGACACCAGGAGGUCAGUGAAGUAUAUGUAUAUUCAGUUCAAUUUCUCUUUCUGAAUGUGUUUGUGUUUCUCCCCUUCUUAGAACUUCGAUGUAUUGCUGUAACAGGGCACUUGUAUGUGGCUUGAUUGCUGCUGGUGCUGGUGCAAUGCUGGGACCUGACAUUGCUUCUGCUGCGUCUAAGAGACGGCCUCCGCCGCCUUCGCCGACGGAGGAGAAGAAAGACCCGAACGUUAGCGGCGUGCAGGCUAAGGUGCUUGCCAGCAAGAGGAGGAAGGAGGCCAUGAAGGAAGCUGUGGCCAAGUUGAGGGAGAAAGGGAAGCCUGUUGAUAAGUGAAGGGCAGAACCACAGAACAAGUAGCCUUUGGUUCCAGCCUGCUUUUUCUCCUCUCGUUCGCUGCUGGCCCUGCUGCUGUGCGUUUCUGCAUCAAUAAUUUCGUUGCACAAUUUUCCCAGUUUUUAUAAUUUUCAAUGGGUUGCUUAAUUUUCACUGGAAAAUUUACGGCUU
RNAcentral lists this long non-coding RNA (628 nucleotides) under Setaria italica (foxtail millet). Its description in RNAcentral is "long non-coding RNA (SITA_LNC001490)". Lineage: Eukaryota; Viridiplantae; Streptophyta; Magnoliopsida; Poales; Poaceae. The record is from RNAcentral.